Molecule: unclassified non-coding RNA, 289 nt
Filed under: Glomeraceae sp.
Lineage: Eukaryota; Fungi; Glomeromycota; Glomeromycetes; Glomerales; Glomeraceae
Description: partial contains 5.8S ribosomal RNA and internal transcribed spacer 2
Rfam family: 5.8S ribosomal RNA (bases 1-72)
Source: RNAcentral
GUGAAUCAUCAAAUCUUUGAACGCAAAUUGCACUCUCCGGUUUUCCGGGGGAGUAUGCCUGUUUGAGGGUCUUUUUAAAUAAAAAUCGAGGUGUUGCUGGUGUGUGACCUAUCGGAAUUUGGUUAUCUUUGACCUUUUAAAAAUUUUAAGUGACCUAAAAUUGAUACGUUGUGCAUCUCAGACGUACAUAAUAAUAUUUUUUUAUCCGUCUGGAUUUGCCAACUUUUUAUUAGUUAUGACCAUGCUGUUGGUGGCAUCGUACCUAUAAUAUACUAAUAUAUUGACCUCA